CGUACACAAAAAUGCACAUGCUGUGAGCUCGAUGAGUAGGGCGGGACACGUGGUAUCCUGUCUGAAUAUGGGGGGACCAUCCUCCAAGGCUAAAUACUCCUGACUGACCGAUAGUGAACCAGUACCGUGAGGGAAAGGCGAAAAGAACCCCGGCGAGGGGAGUGAAAAAGAACCUGAAACCGUGUACGUACAAGCAGUGGGAGCCUCUUUUAUGGGGUGACUGCGUACCUUUUGUAUAAUGGGUCAGCGACUUAUAUUCUGUAGCAAGGUUAACCGAAUAGGGGAGCCGAAGGGAAACCGAGUCUUAACUGGGCGUUAAGUUGCAGGGUAUAGACCCGAAACCCGGUGAUCUAGCCAUGGGCAGGUUGAAGGUUGGGUAACACUAACUGGAGGACCGAACCGACUAAUGUUGAAAAAUUAGCGGAUGACUUGUGGCUGGGGGUGAAAGGCCAAUCAAACCGGGAGAUAGCUGGUUCUCCCCGAAAGCUAUUUAGGUAGCGCCUCGUGAAUUCAUCUCCGGGGGUAGAGCACUGUUUCGGCAAGGGGGUCAUCCCGACUUACCAACCCGAUGCAAACUGCGAAUACCGGAGAAUGUUAUCACGGGAGACACACGGCGGGUGCUAACGUCCGUCGUGAAGAGGGAAACAACCCAGACCGCCAGCUAAGGUCCCAAAGUCAUGGUUAAGUGGGAAACGAUGUGGGAAGGCCCAGACAGCCAGGAUGUUGGCUUAGAAGCAGCCAUCAUUUAAAGAAAGCGUAAUAGCUCACUGGUCGAGUCGGCCUGCGCGGAAGAUGUAACGGGGCUAAACCAUGCACCGAAGCUGCGGCAGCGACGCUUAUGCGUUGUUGGGUAGGGGAGCGUUCUGUAAGCCUGUGAAGGUGUGCUGUGAGGCAUGCUGGAGGUAUCAGAAGUGCGAAUGCUGACAUAAGUAACGAUAAAGCGGGUGAAAAGCCCGCUCGCCGGAAGACCAAGGGUUCCUGUCCAACGUUAAUCGGGGCAGGGUGAGUCGACCCCUAAGGCGAGGCCGAAAGGCGUAGUCGAUGGGAAACAGGUUAAUAUUCCUGUACUUGGUGUUACUGCGAAGGGGGGACGGAGAAGGCUAUGUUGGCCGGGCGACGGUUGUCCCGGUUUAAGCGUGUAGGCUGGUUUUCCAGGCAAAUCCGGAAAAUCAAGGCUGAGGCGUGAUGACGAGGCACUACGGUGCUGAAGCAACAAAUGCCCUGCUUCCAGGAAAAGCCUCUAAGCAUCAGGUAACAUCAAAUCGUACCCCAAACCGACACAGGUGGUCAGGUAGAGAAUACCAAGGCGCUUGAGAGAACUCGGGUGAAGGAACUAGGCAAAAUGGUGCCGUAACUUCGGGAGAAGGCACGCUGAUAUGUAGGUGAAGCGACUUGCUCGUGGAGCUGAAAUCAGUCGAAGAUACCAGCUGGCUGCAACUGUUUAUUAAAAACACAGCACUGUGCAAACACGAAAGUGGACGUAUACGGUGUGACGCCUGCCCGGUGC
RNAcentral lists this ribosomal RNA (1507 nucleotides) under Escherichia coli. RNAcentral describes it as "partial 23S ribosomal RNA". It matches the Rfam family "Bacterial large subunit ribosomal RNA", at positions 374 to 1869 of the family's 2925-position model. The record is from RNAcentral. Lineage: Bacteria; Pseudomonadati; Pseudomonadota; Gammaproteobacteria; Enterobacterales; Enterobacteriaceae.